CCCUUUAAAACAUCCCCCUGGCCAGGAAGUUUCCCAUUGUCGAUUGCUCUUUAAGUAUUCAUUUACAUUGCUUUCGAUGUUUCCAGAAAAGUCAAUCUAAAUGCAACAGACAUGGGAGUAAAUGUUGGUUAAGUCUUUCAUCAGUAAAUAUGUUAAUGUGACUAAAACUGUUUGCCUAACACAUGGGACAUCAUUUCCUCAUGCCAGGGGAAAGAGACACCAAUAAACACUGGCUGUGUAAAGAGCCAACAAUUGUUUGAACACUUCAAAUUACUGUACACUUUUUUUCAUAUCUUGUUGGUAGGGGCCUUGACUGGGGCCUUGUCUCCCUCUCCACUAAACUCUUCCCCUCUUGUAUGGAUAUUCAGGCUAUAGACAUCAAUUUUUAUUCCACCCACCAGGAACUGAACAGGACACCACUCAAAAUAAUUUUACAUAUUUCAGUCUUAAAAUUUUUGAAAACUGAUGUCAUUUGGAACAUGAAGCUGGGAUGAUUUGUGUAGCCCUUCCCCAAAUAUCUCUAUAAAGAGUUUCAAAGAGUGAGUAGUUCUAUUAACUUUGUUGCAGCAGUAACAACUUCCAAGUUUACAGUUUAAUAAGCUUUUCAUUAAUCUUUAAAUGUGCUCCAAAGCCUUAUUUGUUUUAGAAUGAAAAUAUAUUUAUAGGGCCAGGGUCAAGUUUGGACUAACUACUAUAAAUCUAUUAUUCUAAGAGAAAUAUAGUUAUUUUUUUUCCUUUAGAAAGGGGGAGUGGCCACUUAAACUCAUAGAAAGUAAUAUUUUUAACAAGCAAAAGCUAUUAAUGUAAUUUUUAUAUCUUACUUUUAAGGUUUUUUUCAUCCUCUUUGCCCCAAAUUCAAGAAUGUAACAUUAAUGUAUUAAAUCUUAUAUGUUAUUUCCAAGCUCUAGCAAAUAUAGUUACACUGAGUUAAUCAAUCGAAACCUUGCUGAAUACUGGACCUUCUAGUAAAAACCAGCUCAGCUAAGACUUGUAUAUGAGUGUUUUUCAGAGCUUUUCUUGUUUGUUCUUUAGCACACCAAAGAAGGUCAGAAAAGUUCAGAAAGACCAUGAGGGAUGCAGUAGAUCCUUUCUUGAUCCGCUACAUGCCCUCAAGACUGUCUCCCUCUGUUUAAUAGAAGGGCCACACAGCCUGCUCCCUAUAACUUGCAGAAAAUGGGUUCAGGACUGGUUUCUCUCUACAAUACGGUGUGUCAAACAUCAAAUAAAAUAAAAUAGAGGGAUGUUCAAACUACCAUCCCAUGGGUGCUGAAGGCAUUCUGGUCUACUUCGCUCCAGAAGACAAAUGUAUUGUAUGUGUGUAUAUAUGGUAGUGGUCUGACAACAUUGGUCUCGUAAUUUCACCAGUGUUUUCUUCCAUCGGGAAAGAAGCUCCCAUUUUUCUGCCUCACUUUCAAGAUACUUCAUAAUUUAUUUUGAAUUUAUUUUGGUAGUGGUUUUGAUGGCACCAUAGGGCUACAAAAUGGCUAAGGGUAAUAUUUUUUUCUUUCUGUUACAGAUCUCUACAUUUCCCUAUCUGUGCUUCCUAAGCUGAAAAAAACUUCAUAGGAUGAAUCGGUAAUUGAAGCAUUGAAUUAUCGGAGGCCUGGGCCCCUCCAUGAGGAUCUCAUUAAAAAAAUUCUUCUCCUUUGAUUUUUUUGGGGGGUGGGUGGGGGAAGGCAGGGGAAUGACAGCAAUUUCAUUUCAGCAUAAUUGAAUUCAAAUUAUGUUAAAAUGCAGAAAUGUGUAGCAUUCCACUAAUAUAUGAAAUAAAAUACUAUCAGGAUGG
This 1786-nucleotide long non-coding RNA is filed under the name Pogona vitticeps (central bearded dragon). RNAcentral describes it as "lncRNA (ENSPVIG00000015173.1)". The record is from RNAcentral. Lineage: Eukaryota; Metazoa; Chordata; Lepidosauria; Squamata; Agamidae.